Molecule: long non-coding RNA, 882 nt
Filed under: Homo sapiens (human)
Lineage: Eukaryota; Metazoa; Chordata; Mammalia; Primates; Hominidae
Description: HSALNT0317560
Source: RNAcentral
GACAGGAGGAGGAGCAAGGGGAAGGGAGGAGGCAAGCGUGGAAAGGUGAGAAGAGGUGAGGCAGAGGCCUACGUGGAGAGGCAGAGCCUGGGACGCUGCCUGCGGGGGAGGUCAGGGCCACAGGGAAACCCGCACCCAGCCGGACAGGAGUCAGAGGCUGUUGUCAUGGUAACUGGCAUCCCAAGGCCUGGUCUGCCUCCUGCCUCCUUUAUCGGGCUAUGAUGGUCACUGCUUCCUCUGCGAAGCACCUGUCAUGUGUGGGGGUUUGUGCCAAGCUCUUUCCAUGCACUAGGGGGAGAAACCAGGCAGCCCACCUUCAGAGCCCGCGUCUUAACUGUGACCCCACGUUGAAAUAAAAUGUGGAAACUGCCCACAGACACACCUCGUGGUGGCUACGAGUCACAGGGGCUGCACUUCUGCCUCUUGGGGAGUUGCUUGUUUGCUCCAUGCUGGUUUCCUCACCUCAGAAACUAGAAUAACAGUUCCAUAGAGCAGUCGUGAGGAUUGAAGGAGGCAGCCUGGACACUGAGCACAGGCCCUGGCCCAGGCAGGGCUCCAUCGAGGGUUUGUUAGUACAGGAGUUCUGGCGAGCCCUCAGCCGCUGGGCUGCUUCCCUCCAGCCAUUCCUCUGCAUGCUAAGAACUAAAGAGAAGGGAGUCAGACCCAGAUGGAGCAUGGGUGUCAGGCACUGUGCCCAGCUGCCCAUGAGAGCCAGCAAGGUGCCUGUGUCCUUUGAGGUACUAGGAUUCUGGGCCCUGGAUCCUGCAGUGCGGUGACCUCCCCUUCCCCCAUCUGUCCCUGCCCUGCUCCACCCUCAGCCACCUGCAGGGCCCCCACCCAAGGGUCAGGGCAGAGCAGGGCAGAGCAGGGCAGAGCAGGGCA